UACGGAGGGGGCUAGCGUUGUUCGGAAUUACUGGGCAUAAAGCGCACGUAGGCGGCUUUGUAAGUUAGAGGUGAAAGCCCGGGGCUCAACUCCGGAAUCGCCUUUAAGACUGCAUCGCUAGAAUUGUGGAGAGGUGAGUGGAAUUCCGAGUGUAGAGGUGAAAUUCGUAGAUAUUCGGAAGAACACCAGUGGCGAAGGCGACUCACUGGACACAUAUUGACGCUGAGGUGCGAAAGCGUGGGGAGCAAACAGG
This 253-nucleotide ribosomal RNA is filed under the name uncultured bacterium. RNAcentral describes it as "partial 16S ribosomal RNA". It matches the Rfam family "Bacterial small subunit ribosomal RNA", at positions 524 to 776 of the family's 1533-position model. The record is from RNAcentral.